RNAcentral lists this ribosomal RNA (956 nucleotides) under Salmonella enterica subsp. enterica serovar Napoli. RNAcentral's name for it is "partial 23S ribosomal RNA". It matches the Rfam family "Bacterial large subunit ribosomal RNA", at positions 452 to 1405 of the family's 2925-position model. The record is from RNAcentral. Lineage: Bacteria; Pseudomonadati; Pseudomonadota; Gammaproteobacteria; Enterobacterales; Enterobacteriaceae.
ACCAUCCUCCAAGGCUAAAUACUCCUGACUGACCGAUAGUGAACCAGUACCGUGAGGGAAAGGCGAAAAGAACCCCGGCGAGGGGAGUGAAAAAGAACCUGAAACCGUGUACGUACAAGCAGUGGGAGCACAGGUUUACCUGUGUGACUGCGUACCUUUUGUAUAAUGGGUCAGCGACUUAUAUUCUGUAGCAAGGUUAACCGUAUAGGGGAGCCGAAGGGAAACCGAGUCUUAACCGGGCGUUAAGUUGCAGGGUAUAGACCCGAAACCCGGUGAUCUAGCCAUGGGCAGGUUGAAGGUUGGGUAACACUAACUGGAGGACCGAACCGACUAAUGUUGAAAAAUUAGCGGAUGACCUGUGGCUGGGGGUGAAAGGCCAAUCAAACCGGGAGAUAGCUGGUUCUCCCCGAAAGCUAUUUAGGUAGCGCCUCGUGAACUCAUCUCCGGGGGUAGAGCACUGUUUCGGCUAGGGGGCCAUCCCGGCUUACCAACCCGAUGCAAACUGCGAAUACCGGAGAAUGUUAUCACGGGAGACACACGGCGGGUGCUAACGUCCGUCGUGAAGAGGGAAACAACCCAGACCGCCAGCUAAGGUCCCAAAGUCAUGGUUAAGUGGGAAACGAUGUGGGAAGGCCCAGACAGCCAGGAUGUUGGCUUAGAAGCAGCCAUCAUUUAAAGAAAGCGUAAUAGCUCACUGGUCGAGUCGGCCUGCGCGGAAGAUGUAACGGGGCUAAACCAUGCACCGAAGCUGCGGCAGCGACAUUUAGGUGUUGUUGGGUAGGGGAGCGUUCUGUAAGCCUGUGAAGGUGGCCUGUGAGGGUUGCUGGAGGUAUCAGAAGUGCGAAUGCUGACAUAAGUAACGAUAAAGCGGGUGAAAAGCCCGCUCGCCGGAAGACCAAGGGUUCCUGUCCAACGUUAAUCGGGGCAGGGUGAGUCGACCCCUAAGGCGAGGCCGA